CACAACCGUCAGCCGCCCGGUGCACUGUGGACGAUGAGUCAGGGCUAGGGGCACCAGGACUUGGGCGUGCAGGACGCCAGGACUUGGGCGUGCGGGACGCCAGAGCUGGGUCAGAGCUCGAGCCAGCGGCGCCCGGAGAGACUCGGAGAUGCAGGCGGCUCGGAUGGCCCCGAGCUUGGGGCGGCAGCUGCUGAGGCUCGGGGUCGGAAGGUCUGUGUGUGACAAGUGGGACGGUGGGCAGCGGCCCUGGGCACCGGGCCAGGACUGAACUCCCACUCCCCACAGCUCGCGGCUCACGGCGCUCCUGGGGCAGCCCCGGCCCGGCCCUGCCCGGCGGCCCUAUGCCGGAGGUGCCGCUCAGCUGGCUCUGGACAAGUCAGAUUCCCACCCCUCUGACGCUCUGACCAGGAAAAAACCGGCCAAGGCGGUAGGUAGCCCCGAGGCCAGGUGGACCUUAGCCAGACCCAACCAGAGCCCUGAAAUUCGCCUCUCUCUGCCCAGGAAUCUAAGUCCUUUGCUGUGGGAAUGUUCAAAGGCCAGCUCACCACAGAUCAGGUGUUCCCAUACCCGUCCGUGCUCAACGAAGAGCAGACACAGUUUCUUAAAGAGCUGGUGGAGCCUGUGUCCCGUUUCUUCGAGGUAAGGAAUGACUCGGGGCUUGGUCCCUGGUGAGGUGUUUGGAGAUGUUAAGCUCAAAAGGAGCCUGGAUGUGGGAUCCUGUGCCUUCCCCA
RNAcentral lists this small RNA (731 nucleotides) under Pongo abelii (Sumatran orangutan). RNAcentral describes it as "retained intron". Lineage: Eukaryota; Metazoa; Chordata; Mammalia; Primates; Hominidae. The record is from RNAcentral.